CCGCGUGAGKGAAGAAGGCCUUCGGGUUGUAAAGCUCUUUYCCAAGGGAAGAAAACUUMGKCUCUAACAUAGACUGAGGCUGACGGUACCUUGAUAAGAAGCACCGGCUAACUACGUGCCMGCAGCCGCKGUAAUACGUAGGGKGCKAGCGUKAAUCKGAAUUACUGGGCGUAAAGCGUGCGCARGCGGUUUUGUAAGUCAGAUGUGAAAUCCCCRARCUCAACUUGGGAACUGCGUUUGAAACUACAAGACUAGAAUAUGUCAGAGGGGGGUAGAAUUCCACGUGUAGCAGUGAAAUGCGUAGAGAUGUGGAGGAAUACCAAUGGCGAAGGCAGCCCCCUGGGAUAAUAUUGACGCUCAUGCACGAAAGCGUGGGGAGCAAACAGGAUUAGAUACCCUGGUAGUCCACGCCCUAAACGAUGUCUACUAGUUGUUGGUGGAGUAAAAUCCAUGAGUAACGCAGCUAACGCGUGAAGUAGACCGCCUGGGGAGUACGGUCGCAAGAUUAAAACUCAAA
Molecule: ribosomal RNA, 517 nt
Filed under: uncultured bacterium
Lineage: Bacteria
Description: partial 16S ribosomal RNA
Rfam family: Bacterial small subunit ribosomal RNA
Source: RNAcentral